Molecule: long non-coding RNA, 1068 nt
Organism: Triticum aestivum (bread wheat)
Lineage: Eukaryota; Viridiplantae; Streptophyta; Magnoliopsida; Poales; Poaceae
Exons: 3
Source: RefSeq, a predicted model, not a curated record
GGUUCAUUGCUGGGACAUGCAUCAUCAAGCUCUUAUGCCUUUAGUUACCCAAGUACACUGACUCAAACUUUUUCUACAAUUCAAGGUAAUCUAGAAAGCAUACCUGAAGGAAUGGAAGAUGAUCACAUAGUUUUCACUAGCAAAGGUGACGCUAAUACUGUCCAGUGCAAGGAACUCACAUCGGUGCAAUGUCCAACAUCUACAUCAGUGGACAGUUCAUCAUUGGCCCCUGAUGACUCCAUAUGCCCAGGUUCCCCAACGGAAAGCUUUAAUGUGGAUGAUGAUUUUUCUCAUAUGACCGAAGAAGAAGAUGAUGAGUACUUCGCAUUUGCUGGGAGAGGUAUUAAAAAUUCCAUGGAUGUCUUAUUUCCCUACAUAUGUAUAGCACAGAAAAUGCAAUACCUAUAUAUAACACAAUUCAUCUCAUGUGUGUACAGGGAACACUGAAGAUUGCGAUGACAUGGUAGAUGCUUUUACAACAGACAACAUUGUUCCUGACCCAUAUGACUGUGUUUACCAGAAUAUACCAAAAAGUACUCACACGCUGGUGCCAAAGCCUGAUUGCAAGCAUUGCGGCGCAAAGAGGUUCCAGUAUGAGACAAAUGGAUUUUGUUGCCAGUCUGGAAAAAUUAAGUUAGCACAGUCAGAACCACCCUUGGAACUUCAGAUGUUGUACACAAGUUCAGAUAGUGAUGCUGUACAUUUUAGGGAUAACAUUCGCUACUUCAAUGGCCACUUUUCAUUCACCACUCUUGGAGUCAGUCUUGACAAUAGAUACACAAACAUGAGGUCAGGAGUCUAUACAUUCCGAGCCCAUGGUCAGAUUUACCACAACAUCUUCUCAUUUGGUCCAACACAAGAUGGACCUAAGCAUCUAGAGUUAUACUUCUACGAUGAUGACCCGAGUCUACAACAUAGGUUUCGGCGCUCCCCGAACCUAGACCGAGAUGUCAUUCGAAGGCUUGUCAACAUCCUUAAGGAUAAUCCUUAUUCUGAAACAUUCAGGAAUCUAGGUGGAGUCGAUGACCUUGAGGAUUAUCGUAUUGAACUGAACACCGACAUGAGGUU